CCCUCAGUAACGGCGAGUGAAGAGGGAAGAGCCCAGCACCGAAGCCUGUGGCCGUUUGGCCCCUAGGCAAUGUGGUGUUCAGGUUAGCUCGCGGGGAUGCUGCUCCACCCUAAGUCCUAAAAUGAGUAAGGUUACUCGGACGUGGCCCAUUGAGGGUGAAAGGCCCGUGGGGGUGGAGAGUCAGACUGGCCAGUAUCUCCCUGAGCAGACCUUGGAGUCGGGUUGUUUGUGAAUGCAGCCCAAAGCGGGUGGUAAACUCCAUCCAAGGCUAAAUACUAGCACGAGUCCGAUAGCGAACAAGUACCGUGAGGGAAAGUUGAAAAGUACUUUGAAGAGAGAGUAAACAGUGCGUGAAGCCGUUCAGAGGUAAACGGGUGGAGUUGAACUGCAAGCUCUGAGGAUUCAACUGGUGAGAUUGGCGUGAGCUUGGUCACGUGGGUUGUAUUGCUGUGUCUGCUUAGCUGCAGGUCCUCGCCUCGGUGGGGAUGCGCGUCUAGCUUAUCAAGCUUUGCGCGCACGGUGUUUUUCGAGCCCGCUUGCCAGUGCACUUUCUCAGAGUGUUCACCACGACCGGCGUUGCUGUCUGGCUGAUGGGGUUAAACCGGUCUUGUAGGGUCCUUGUGGCCUUGCUUGGUCGGGAUGGCAGGUAGCCCGUUGUGUAUUUUAUAUGCUUCGGGUGUAAUAGCCGACUUCAUCGGUUCUGUGCGGUACGUCGGAGACGGCGGCUUGUUGUGCGUGCGGGCGUGCCUGUGUGCUGGCGGCUCUGGGUCUGGUUGCCUUGUUGCUUGCGAAUGCAGGCCAGGUGAUGGCUCGGGGUCGUUUGGUGUGCGGUUGCGUUCGUGGCACUUUGAAGGGCCAACAGUCUGUGGUGUAGUGGUAGACUAUCCACCCGACCCGUCUUGAAACACGGACCAAGGAGAGUAACAUGUGCGCGAGUCAUUGGGCGUUACGAAACCCAAAGGCGUAGUGAAAGUAAAGGUUCGGCUUGUCUGGACUGAGGUGAGAUCCUGUCGUUUCUCACGCAUGGUACUACCAAGCAUCGAGCGGCAGGCGCAUCACCGGCCCGUCCCAUGACGUAGUGGUGGCUUCGGCUUGCCCAUCGUCGGGGCGGAGCAUGAGCGUACAUGUUGAGACCCGAAAGAUGGUGAACUAUGCUUGCGCAGGUUGAAGCCAGAGGAAACUCUGGUGGAG
Molecule: ribosomal RNA, 1191 nt
Filed under: Neopetasiger islandicus
Lineage: Eukaryota; Metazoa; Platyhelminthes; Trematoda; Plagiorchiida; Echinostomatidae
Description: eukaryotic LSU rRNA
Rfam family: Eukaryotic large subunit ribosomal RNA
Source: RNAcentral